RNAcentral lists this ribosomal RNA (497 nucleotides) under uncultured bacterium. RNAcentral's name for it is "partial 16S ribosomal RNA". It matches the Rfam family "Bacterial small subunit ribosomal RNA", at positions 28 to 507 of the family's 1533-position model. The record is from RNAcentral.
GAUGAACGCUGGCGGCGUGCCUAAUACAUGCAAGUCGAGCGAACAGAUGAGGAGCUUGCUCCUCUGACGUUAGCGGCGGACGGGUGAGUAACACGUGGAUAACCUACCUAUAAGACUGGGAUAACUUCGGGAAACCGGAGCUAAUACCGGAUAACAUGUUGAACCGCAUGGUUUAAUAGUGAAAGACGGUCUUGCUGUCACUUAUAGAUGGAUCCGCGCCGCAUUAGCUAGUUGGUAAGGUAACGGCUUACCAAGGCAACGAUGCGUAGCCGACCUGAGAGGGUGAUCGGCCACACUGGAACUGAGACACGGUCCAGACUCCUACGGGAGGCAGCAGUAGGGAAUCUUCCGCAAUGGGCGAAAGCCUGACGGAGCAACGCCGCGUGAGUGAAGAAGGUCUUCGGAUCGUAAAACUCUGUUAUUAGGGAAGAACAAAUGUGUAAGUAACUAUGCACGUCUUGACGGUACCUAAUCAGAAAGCCACGGCUAACUACGUG